UUUCAAUUCCUUGUUCCAUAGCUGAAAUAAUACCUAUAAAAAGCAAAAAUAGUACAUGAACUAUUAAUGGCUUAAUGGUAAGAACUAAGAAAUAAAGAAGCAAUUUCUUAUGGCAUCUACUACAUGCAUGUUAUAGAGCAUGCUUUUGAUAAGGCAUAAAACAAAAACUUGACAUCUCCAGAAUCUCAUUGAAUGUACAAAACAAAGAUAGACGGAUGAGAGACCAAUACCCAAACAAUAAUAUGCUGAAAACUUACGUUGAUGACUAAUGAAAGACGGAUAGAAGAAUGAAAAGUGAAGACUGAAUAGAGAUUGACGAUUUGAAGCUUAUAAUUAAAAACCUAAACAAGAUAUCUUAGAAGAAAGAGGAAGAGUGAAUGAGAGUUACACAAAGAAGGAAGUCGAAGGUGUGAAGUUUCGAAGAUGAAGGAGUUGAAAACUAUGCAUAGAACUCUGGAAUUUCAGUUGUAGAAAGAUUCAAUAAUUAAUGUUUGUUUUAAUACUUUAAUUCAUUAAUUGCACUUUUAGUUUUCCACCUUUUCCUGUUUAGGCCUUUUCAUGGUAUUGUAGUUCAACCGGUGGGAUAGACCCCAAUCUGGCGAAUAAAAAAUGUGAAGACAAUAAGAAGAUGAGUGAUCAAGAUUAGCCAAGUAAUCCAUGGCAUAAUUGACUUUGCGGUAAUAUGUGAACGAUGUCAAGUUCCUGAAAUUGCAUGACAAGUGAAGCAUGUUGAUGAUCCAUGGAAGAAGGAUUAGAUAAGAUAGCAAUGGAAGUUUUUUGAGUCUGACUAAGCGUGAAUACGUCGAAUGCAAAGAGACCAUGCCAAUUUGAGCCCUUCAACAACCCCUCUUAUCUCUGCGAGCGUAAUAGAACAACUCCCAAGAUUAAAAGUAAAAGCUUUGACAAAAGAGCCCCGAUCGGUACGAAUAAUUCCUCUCGUAGCUGCUCUACUAUACCCGGGACCGAGGAGAAUGGACCCGUCGGUGCUAAGAGUAUACCAACCGUCCUUACCCGGCCGCCACCCAAUCAAUUGGGACUACCAAGCUUGCCUCGAUGCUUCUUGACACAAUUGACCGGUCUUCCAUCUCAAUGUAACAAGGGCUACCCAAUAAUCACACCUUUGGGCCACAUCCUGCAGCGUAUCUAAAACUUGUUCGAAGAUACGUUUGUUUCUAGCUUGCCAAAGUAACCAAUUUCCAACUCCAAAGAUCAAGACAUGUUGCGCACUAUGAAUGUUGUUUGCCAACCACACAUCAUCAAUCUUUGUAGAAAAAUUUAAUUGUCAUUCCCGCAUAUUUGCACCUUGAAUUAAAUCUUUAGUUUUAUGUAAAUACAAUUACAAACCUUUAAUGGGAUCUCCUAAAUUUAGAAUCACCCCUCUAUUCAUAUAACUUUUCACUAUUUCCUUAACCUCUUCAACCUUCUGUUCCACCUAAUCUACCAUACAAAACGGCCCAAAGACAAUGGAUACGAACUUAGCUCCCUUCAGAACCUCAUGUACCUCACCGUUCUCGACCUUUUCCGUCACUCCUUUCAGAACGCCUUCAGACAUAAUUGGGCACUCUCCCAUGAUAUCCACCCUCUCCUUCUCGACCAACUGCUCACCAAAUUCUCAAUCAAACUCACCAUGUCUUCUUUCAUGAUUGAGUUAUCAAGAGCAGCUUGAAAAAGCAUAUAUGAAUGAUGAAUUUCGUAGUGAAUAGUAUGGAAUCACACAAAACUCAUAGCACAACUAUAUUUCACAUAAGACCUAUUUCUCUUACUUCUUUUUUGAAAUCAUGAAAUGAUUAUAUUUGAUAUUUAUUUUAGCAUGGAAUUAUUAUAAUUACAAAAUUCAUAUUAUAUCAUUUAAAGGGAGUAAUUCAUAGUCCAAAAGGAGUUGCUCCAGUGUCUAGUUACCCAAAGGUCCUGGGUUCGAAUCCAGUGUACUCCAAAACGGACACCUAUUUAUUUCUUGUCUUCUAUCUUAGAAAAAGAGGGAGUAAUUGAUAUGAGAGCAUUUAAUAGGAGGAGAGAAUAUUUUUAAAUUUUGAUUUAAGAAAUAAUUGAUGAUGUGAAAAUUUGAGAAAAGAGUAGAAGCUUAUGUGGCAAACUUAAAUUCAUGAAAUUGCUAUAAUAUACGUUAAGAAGAUAUAUGUUAUGAUAUAUUGAGAUUUAAUAUCGAAUGAAUUAUAGUGUAAGCUCGUUAACAUUGUUAAUGGAUAAAUUUCUUGACUAUACUUGAAAUCUUUUAGUGUGUAGUAGAGUUUAAGACAUCACGGUGUGUAUAUUGGUUGAACUCUUUUAGAAUUAUUGAGUAUGUUAGUCAGACCUAGGCUUGGCAAUGAGGCGGGUUUGGGGCGGGGGUAUCGAUAGCCAUCCCCAUCCCCGUUCCCAAAAAUUCAUCCCCAUCCCGAUUCGAAUCUCAGUAUUCAUACUCAUCCCCAAACCCGUGGAUUUUGAAUACCCAUAGAUAUCCCUAUCCCCGCAUAACUUAAUUAAAAUUUUAAGAAAUAAGACUACAACAUAAUCGUCAGGGUAAGUUCAAACGUGGAUUCGUGGAAUCGUGAUCGUUGAGAAUGGAGAGCCGCUCUGAAUUGGAAAUAAAAUUAGGGAAUUUAGGAUUAGUUUGAUAACUAUUAGAUAAGAGUUGUAUGGUAGUUUUACAUAUUGGGUAGGGUAUGGGUAUGGGUAUGGGGCGAGGGUACCUAAACCCAUCCCUGAACCGUCCCCGUUCAUUUUUAGCGGGUAUUCUACAUACCCGCCCCAUAACCCGUUUAGUACGGGUAUUCUCCGAUUCGAUCGAAUCAAAUAGGGUCGAAUACCCGUGGGUGGAUGUGGUUUUGUUAAACAUUAGUGGAAUGCACAGUCAACACAGGUAAAAAAAUUGGAUGAUCGAGAUUGAAUCUGGUACUUCCAAGCCCCAAGAUCCUCUAUUAUUGGAUGGAGAAAUUUUGAUGAGGAACUAGAAAGUGUUUCUCAGCCCUUCUGCCCAUUUCCGUUUACUUCCGGCGGAUCUUCGGUGGCUUCGCAAGUCAGAAUAAAAGCUAGCCAACUAUCUUCUUCUCCUGAAUAUGUUCCCAAAUGGAUGCCUCUUUAUUCUAAGACUUGUAGUUCUACAGAUAUAGAGCCCUACAAGGAAGUGCGUAGGAGUUAAAAUUUUGAACCAUGAUCGACUAAUGAUCUGAAUCUAAUCAAAUCGCUAGAGGUGAAAUUUGGUAGGUUUCUUCAUACUUGAUGAGCCACCCAUUGAUGAUGGAAGAGUUCCUAAAAUAUACCGUGGGAUCAAGUUAAUUUUGGAGCCUGGAUGAUACCCACAUCGUGAAGGUGACAGGACUCCAGAUAAAUCAUCAAAAUUGAACACAUCGUGAGCUGCCCAUAUCCGUUUGCGUUCGGCGGAUUUUUGGUGGCUUCCUAGUCGGAAUAAAAGUCAGAAGAUGAUGGUAAUUGAAAAUAGAAAAAAUCAUCAAACAAUGAGAUUGAGGCGGUUACCUUGGAAUAGUCAGCGCCUCCCUAUUAACAAAGAACAAGUUCGCCGCCGUGAAAUUCAACACUCGGGUGAACCCCCACUUCGGCGACCCCAACGACAGCCAAAUCGGCUUAGACAUUGUCAUCAUGAUUUCCGUCAAGAUAGCCGAUCCAUGAACCCAAGGGAUAGAUUUGAAGAGUGGGGAUCCAAUCAUCGCCUGGGUUGACUACGAAGUCGGAGACCUUAACAAUUCCACAGUUGUAGUAGCAUUUUUGCAAGUCUUCUGAGUGAAGUUGAUGUAUAAGAAGAGAGAGGUGGCAAGAGGGACGACAUAGGAGAGGGUUCUGAGGAGGAGGGGGAGGACGAUUGACAUGGCGGAUUAGUGACUGGAUAUUGAGAAUUUGAAUGGAAAGAUUCGGUUAUUGGAAAUUAAUAGGAAGUGAGGAAGAGGAAGAAGAAAAAGAGGGAUAAGGGUAAAUAUUUAAGAUGGGAUGUUAAUAAAACUUUAACUCUUUAGGUGCAAGUAUUGCUGACGUGGAUUCCAACGUGAACAAUGGAUUAUUUCUGUCUGUAAUGUCGUCUCUUCCUCAGUUAAGUUUGACAGUCAACGACGAAGUUAACCAAAUCCCGUUAACGGGAUUUGAAAUCUGGGUAAAAAAAUGUAUUAUGGAAAACAUGUGCGAGAUUGUGUGUCGGGCCUAAACAUUGGCAAUUUUUAGCUAAUUUAAUACUAAAAAUAAGAAGGACAAGUUAAAGACAAGGGAUGUGAAAUCUGAAUGGUGGGAUAAAGAAAAAACAGGAGCAAUAAGAAACCCGAAUCUGCCAAAUGUCAAUCCAUUUUAAUUGAAUUGCUAUAUAUAUAUAUAUAUAUUCUUUUAUAUGAAAUGAUGUAAAAUGAUACAGUGUCAUUCUUUUAUAUGAAAUGAUGUAAAAUGCUUCAGUGCCAUUUACACUAUAUUUUGUGCUUAAAAUUAAAUUUUUGAUGUUGUUGGUUUGUGAUUAAGGUUCAGGGUAUAGUGUAAGGGCUUAGAGUUUAAUUUGUCAUGUUUAAGAUCUAAUAAUUUUGAUACUGGUCAAUCAAAUUAACCAAUAAAAUUAACCAUUUACACUAAAUUAGUCAUACUAACCAAACCAAAUUAACCAAAUGAUACCGGUUAAAAUGAUUAACUUAAUAACCUAUCUGACAGCCCUAAAACAGUGCGUUAAUAAAGCAUCAACUGAACGGACAUCGGGUAUAGUUGACCACUAAUCGGGAAUUUGAGGAUGCGUGUCUAGCUUCCGAUCUAACCAAAGAGUUUUUUAGGAAGGGAACCUUUAUAUAUUAAAGCACCAGAACCGCAGGCAACCAACAGAUGAUAUUUGUUACAUGGGGAGGGGCACAGAAUUUGCUGGAUUAGUAUCCAAUCACUAGGGAGAGUUCCAUGAAGAGAUUCUUUUACGACCCAAUCCGCUCUCAUGUUCAUCUUCCGGGAGACGAAACAAACAUCAAUGUUAACAGCCAUGCUCAACAGGUUAUGAAUGUAAGCUAUCAUCGCCGCACAAUCCCUUGGCCAUGGAUCUGCUCUAUGAUUAUGUUAACCAACAAUUGGCGGUCUGAAAGAAUUUGAAAUGCCCAUCAUGUUGAGUCGCAUACUCGGCCGCUCUAAGCAACGCCACAGCUUCCGCUGCAGUUGGUGAAUUAACAUAAGCUGGCCCUGCUCUCCCAUCAUACACAAAACCAUGGAGAUCGAAAAUAGUGACUCCAGAAGCCGCCUCACGAGAAUCAUGACAAAAUGACCCGUUGCAAUGGAUCCUUUUCCGAGGAUAAGAAGACUGUGGUGAGGAAGGAGAAUGGUUCGAAGGAGCAGAGACCCAGAGAAAUUGUAACACCCACACUUCGUACAUGUUCGUUUUAAAAUAAAACAGCGAAUCAAUAAUAGGGUGCUACGCUACUUAUACCAUAUAUAUCAUUUAAUGUUUACACCCAUCCGAUUAAUUCCUUCAUCAUAAUCUAGGAUUGUGCUUAUAUGUACUCAAAUGAUUAAUUCGUCAACACAAAAACUGCUCAAGAUGUCAUAUAUGACUUAUUGACUUUUCACAAUACAAUACACUAUACCAGAAGUCCAACAGGACACAUAUACAUAUAGAACAGAAGUCUCGAGCUUCGCAGGCUCGGACCAGAGUAACCAUAUACUUGCCCUCAAGGCCACUAUAUUUUACAAAACCAUAUCUCACAUUGUACUAGUACACAACCACUCAUAACUUAUGCACAUGAUGGAAGUAAGAGUCUCAAACAAACUUUAAAUACAAAACGAGGAUCAAGACACAAUCUUUGAUAUCUACCUGGCGUCGUCACCAUGAUGACCGACCCCGGACCUCGAUGAUACCAUUUUGUAGUGUGUGAACUAGUACAACCUACUGUCGCUCUGAAAUGGAAAGUAAGGGUCAGUGCUAAUCACUAAGUGAGGAUCUCUGUCCUAGUCACUCUAAGGUACAAAUAAUCAUAUAGAAAGUAUACAACAUAUAAUACAUAAGGCUAAUUCUAUAAUCUAAUUUAUAUCCAUAUUUUAUUUGGGAUCCCGACUCACAUAUGCUGACGACCCACGUAGAGUUAGUGGCACUAAAAUGGCCCACGUAGAGUUAGUGUGGCGCUUACCAAAGCCCAGUUGUGGCGCUUACCAAGGCCCAUGGCGUAACAGAAGUGCAAUAAGCACAAUCGCCAGCAUACGUGCCCUAACUAGGUGAUCAAUCAAUUACCAGAUUUAUUCAAUAAUCAGUAAUAGCUACUGCUCAUAUUAACACAUAUAUUAAGUCAGAUAUAUCAGCAAAGUAACAUAACGUGUAUCAUAUAAGUAAUAAAUAUGGUAAAGAAGCAUAUAAAAUCUUAAGAUUAAACAGACAUUACCCUAUCAUGCAUAUAGCCUUAAUAAUAAUAAACUCAUAAUGGAACGUCUAACCCGGUCGGAUACGCAGGAGACCCUCACCAAAAAUAAUCCUUGAGAAAACCGGUAAUAACUUCCGAGUUAAGCUCGUGCGUAAUUCAAAGGACUUGAAUUAUGAACCAGGUAUAAGGCACUGGUUCUUCUAUAUUUCCUCUGUUUAAG
This 6531-nucleotide long non-coding RNA is filed under the name Linum usitatissimum (flax). RNAcentral describes it as "long non-coding RNA (LUSI_LNC004182)". Lineage: Eukaryota; Viridiplantae; Streptophyta; Magnoliopsida; Malpighiales; Linaceae. The record is from RNAcentral.